RNAcentral lists this ribosomal RNA (426 nucleotides) under uncultured archaeon. RNAcentral's name for it is "bacterial SSU rRNA". It matches the Rfam family "Archaeal small subunit ribosomal RNA", at positions 475 to 903 of the family's 1478-position model. The record is from RNAcentral.
ACCAGCUCUUCAAGUGGUCGGGAUGAUUAUUGGGCUUAAAGUGUCCGUAGCCGGUUUAGUAAGUUCCUGGUAAAAUCAGGUAGCUUAACUAUCUGUAUGCUAGGAAUACUACUAUACUAGAGGGCGGGAGAGGUCUGAGGUACUACAGGGGUAGGGGUGAAAUCUUAUAAUCCUUGUAGGACCACCAGUGGCGAAGGCGUCAGACUGGAACGUGCCUGACGGUGAGGGACGAAAGCCAGGGGAGCGAACCGGAUUAGAUACCCGGGUAGUCCUGGCUGUAAACGAUGCAUACUAGGUGAUGGCCCGGCCAUGAGCCGUGUCAGUGCCGUAGGGAACCGUUAAGUGUGCCGCCUGGGAAGUACGGUCGCAAGGCUAAAACUUAAAGGAAUUGGCGGGGAGCACCACAAGGGGUGAAGCCUGCGGUUC